RNAcentral lists this ribosomal RNA (283 nucleotides) under Dermacentor hunteri. RNAcentral describes it as "partial 16S ribosomal RNA". The stretch from base 145 to 283 matches the Rfam family "Bacterial large subunit ribosomal RNA", at positions 2473 to 2612 of the family's 2925-position model. The record is from RNAcentral. Lineage: Eukaryota; Metazoa; Arthropoda; Arachnida; Ixodida; Ixodidae.
GCAAGAAGACCCUAAGAAUUUUAAAAAUAGUAAUUUUUAGUUUCAAAGAAUGCUAUUUUUUAGUUGGGGCAACUAAGAAAUAUUAUAAACUUUUUUAAAAUAAAAUGAUCCAUUAUUAAUGAUUAUUUGAAAAAAUACUCUAGGGAUAACAGCGUAAUAAUUUUUGAUAGAACAUAUAGACAAAAUAGUUUGCGACCUCGAUGUUGGAUUAGGAUACUUUUUUAAUGAAGAUGUUAAAAAAAGAAGUUUGUUCAACUUUUAAAGUCCUACUUGAUCUGAUUUC